GUGGGGAAUAUUGGACAAUGGGCGAAAGCCUGAUCCAGCCAUGCCGCGUGUGUGAAGAAGGUCUUCGGAUUGUAAAGCACUUUAAGUUGGGAGGAAGGGCAGUAAGUUAAUACCUUGCUGUUUUGACGUUACCGACAGAAUAAGCACCGACUAACUUCGUGCCAGCAGCCGCGGUAAUACGAAGGGUGCAAGCGUUAAUCGGAAUUACUGGGCGUAAAGCGCGCGUAGGUGGUUUUGUAAGUUGGAGGUGAAAUCCCCGGGCUCAACCUGGGAACUGCCUCCAAAACUGCAUGACUAGAGUACGGUAGAGGGUAGUGGAAUUUCCUGUGUAGCGGUGAAAUGCGUAGAUAUAGGAAGGAACACCAGUGGCGAAGGCGACUACCUGGACUGAUACUGACACUGAGGUGCGAAAGCGUGGGGAGCAAACAGGAUUAGAAACCCGGGUAGUCC
RNAcentral lists this ribosomal RNA (450 nucleotides) under uncultured bacterium. Its description in RNAcentral is "bacterial SSU rRNA". It matches the Rfam family "Bacterial small subunit ribosomal RNA", at positions 354 to 796 of the family's 1533-position model. The record is from RNAcentral.